Non-coding RNA from Pelodiscus sinensis (Chinese soft-shelled turtle), 700 nucleotides. The record is from RefSeq and is a predicted model, not a curated record. Lineage: Eukaryota; Metazoa; Chordata; Testudines; Trionychidae.
CCCAAUGAACAAGUUGCAAAGGAUAUUGCGAGGGCCAUUAUGGAUAAAAAACUGGCUGCCUGCGUGAACAUCCUGCCCCAGGCUUCCUCCAUGUAUCUGUGGAAAGGGGAAAUAGAAGAAGCCACUGAAAUACUUCUAGUAAGUGUCUGCUCCGGAGGAUCUCGCAGAGACGCGGUUCAAAGAGGGGCCCCGUUUCUGACCCUCCCCUACGUUUAAUUCAAAUAUUCGGAGGGUUUGCAGGGUCGGCUUCACUGAACAGGACCGCGACACGGAACUAGCUAGUGAAAACCAGGACGUCAAAAAUCAGUGAAUUAUCAGACUACAUCAGAUCCAUGCACCCUUUUGAGAUUCCCGAAUUUAUCAGCCUGCCUAUCGACCAAGGAAACCCGCUCUAUUUAAGAUGGAUUGAAGACGGUGUCCCUGAGGACUAGCUGGAAUGCGCCGUUCUGUCCUUCUCUAGACACGCCCGGCGUUUCCUUCCUGCCUGGGGUCUGCUUUGGCGCGCUAGUCUUCUCACCGCACCGGCAGGAGCGAUGCAGACGCGCCGAAGGCCGAUAAACCCCCAAGGGACUGUAGGUAGCACACGCGCCUGGAAGCUGGAAUUUGACUCCUCCUUGAAAUACAGUUUAAGGAACACUCCUUGGCUAUGUCUACACUCGCGGCUGCUUGCGCAAGAACUUCUUGCACAAGAACACGUCCA